Non-coding RNA from Cebus imitator (Panamanian white-faced capuchin), 1452 nucleotides. NCBI's taxonomy places the organism in Eukaryota, Metazoa, Chordata, Mammalia, Primates, Cebidae. The record is from the annotation of a RefSeq genome assembly.
UGGAGAGUGAUGGUUCAAAAAGAAAAGGAAGCGCUUAGGGCAGUGAAUCACAUUUUGCCCAGGAAAACACACUUGAUAAUUGAAGGAUGAUGAAGUGUCCACAGGCUUCAUUACUGAUCUUUUGGCUUCAACUGAGCUGGGUGAGCAGUGAAGACAAGGUGGUACAAAGCCCUCCAUCUCUGGUUGUCCAUGAGGAAGACAGUGUAACUCUCAACUGCAGUUAUGAAGCAGCUAACUUUCGAAGCCUACUAUGGUACAAGCAGGAAAAGAAAGCUCCCACAUUUCUAUUUAUACUAACUUCAAGUGGAAUUGAAAAGAAGUCUGGAAGCUUAAGUAGCAUAUUAGAUAAAACAGAACAUUUCAGCAUCCUGAACAUCACAGCCACGCAGACCAGAGACUCGGCCACCUACCUCUGUGCUGGUGGAGGGGAUUACAAAAUCAUCUUUGGAAAAGGGACACGACUUCGUAUUCUCCCCAAUAUCCAGAACCCUGACCCUGCCGUGUACCAGCUGAGAGACUCUAAAUCCAGCAACUCCUCUGUCUGCCUAUUCACUGAUUUUGAUUCUAAAAUGAAUGUGUCAGAAAGUAAGGAGUCUGAAGUGUACAUCACAGACAAAACUGUGCUAGACAUGAAGUCUAUGGACUCCAAGAGCAACGGUGCCGUGGCCUGGAGCAGCAAUUCCAAUUUUAAAUGCACAGACGCCUUCAACGGCAGCUCUCUUCCAGCAAACACCUUCUUCUCCGGCUCAGAAAGUCUCUGCGAUGCCAGCCUUGUUGAGAAAAGCUUUGAAACGGAUAUGAACCUAAACUUUCAAAACCUGUCAGUGAUUGGGUUCCGAAUCCUCCUCCUGAAAGUGGCCGGCUUUAAUCUGCUCAUGACGCUGCGGCUGUGGUCCAGCUGAGGUCCAAAAGAUUAUAAGAGAGCCUGUGCUCCCUUGCACCUUCAUCCGCACCACCCCUCCUCUCCCUCUCCAAAGGGGACGCUCCCACCCCCACGGAGGAGAAAGCUGCUACCACCUCUGUGCGCUCCCCUCCCCCGCACAAUGCCACCAACUGGAUCCUACCCGAAUUUGUGACGAAGAUUGCUGAAGAGCUGCCAAACACUGCUGCCACCCCAUUCCCUUAUUGCUGCUUGUCACUGCCUGACAUGCAUGGCAGAGGCAAGGCUGCGGCAGCCUCACCUGGCUGUGCAGAUCCCCUCCCGCUCCCCAGAGACUGCCUCCACCAUCCCACAGAUGAUGGAUCCUCAGUGGGUUCUCUUGGGCUCUAGGUCCUAGAGAAUGUUGUGAGGGGGUUAUAAUUUUUUAAAUAGUGUUCAUAAAGAAAUACAUAUUACUCUCAAGAUGUGGGGGAAAUUAAUCUCAUUAUCGAGGCCCUGCUAUGCUGUGUAUCUGGGCAUGUUGUAUAUCUUGCCGCCCCAUGGCUUCAUUAAAAAUGACUUGGAAGAGCAGA